GACGAACGCUGGCGGCGUGCUUAACACAUGCAAGUCGAACGAUGAAGAAAAGAAUUGAAGCUUCGGCAGAAAUUCAUUUCGGAUUAGUGGCAGACGGGUGAGUAACGCGUGAGCAACCUACCUCUUACAAAGGGAUAGCCUCGGGAAACCGGGAUUAAUACCAUAUAACAUUGCGACGAAGCAUUUCGAUGCAAUCAAAGCUACGGCGGUAAGAGAUGGGCUCGCGUCCCAUUAACCAGAUGGUGAGGUAACGGCUCACCAUAGUAACGAUGGGUAACCGGCCUGAGAGGGUGAACGGUCACACUGGAACUGAGACACGGUCCAGACUCCUACGGGAGGCAGCAGUGGGGAAUAUUGCACAAUGGAGGGAACUCUGAUGCAGCGACGCCGCGUGAGUGAUGAAGGAAUUCGUUUCGUAAAACUCUGUUCUAUGGGAAGAAAAUGACUGUACCAUAGGAGAAAGCGCCGGCUAAAUACGUG
Molecule: ribosomal RNA, 480 nt
Filed under: uncultured bacterium
Lineage: Bacteria
Description: partial 16S ribosomal RNA
Rfam family: Bacterial small subunit ribosomal RNA
Source: RNAcentral